GUGAAUCAUCGAAUUUUUGAACGCAAAUUGCACCCUCUUCGGAGAGUAUGCCUGUUUGAGGGUCAGCUUAAACAAAAUCGACAUAGUGUCUGUUUCGCGGUGAGAUUCUUCGGUAUUUGGGUCAUCUUAAUUCUUUGGGUCUUAUGCUGCUUAACAUUUUCUUUAUGAUUCUAUGAACUUUUCUAAGAUUUUCUUAUACGUUUAAGGUAUCGAUUUUUGUUCAACGUGGCUGUUGCAU
RNAcentral lists this unclassified non-coding RNA (238 nucleotides) under Glomus sp. RNAcentral's name for it is "partial contains 5.8S ribosomal RNA and internal transcribed spacer 2". The stretch from base 1 to 65 matches the Rfam family "5.8S ribosomal RNA", at positions 84 to 154 of the family's 154-position model. The record is from RNAcentral. Lineage: Eukaryota; Fungi; Glomeromycota; Glomeromycetes; Glomerales; Glomeraceae.